UGAGUAUUUUAUAAACUUCAUUUAGAUACUUCAGGAGACACUUAGCAUUUUUUUAAAAAAAGAAAGAAAAUUGUUUUUCUACUUCAUUUUCUUUUGAGGGUCAGAGGAUAUUUAUUUAUAGGCCUUUUUGAUAGAAUCUGAGGCUGUCUGUGUCUUUGGCGUCACUCUCUCUCCGGCCUCUCUUGACCAGGUCAGUUUCUCUCCUGUCUGGGCCACCCCGAGCAGCAGCCCAGAACCGCUGUUUCCGAUCCUCAAUCCUUUUUAAUCCCCCUCUUUUUUUACAAAUGUUACCAGCUUGGUAUUUCUGUUUUACUAUGAUGUCAUCUACUUCACCGUAGCGUCGACGCCAGUGGAAGCGUUGACUGUGGGGGGCGUGAGUGAGGACAGAGGACUGGGCCCGCUCAUUUGUUGUGUGGGGGGCUGUGCGCCCGGGGCAGGCGUGCGGGCCCUGCUCGGGGUGACCGUCUCCCCUUGGCUCCGGCUCCAUGGUGAGCAGGACGAAGGAGCCGCCCCUGCAGGCAAAUGAGCCGUGUGGGCAGAAAUGGCGUGGAGAGUAGCGAGAGCAGGUGACGGCCUCGUGCAGGUAGAUGCCCCUCCUGUUACCGUGACAAGGGUGGCGUGGGCUCUGGCAGAGAAGAACCCGGGCCCCUCCCCGAGUCAGGUGAGGAGAGGGUGUCGCCUCUGCUCUUCCCGCAGCCGCCCUGAUGCGUCUCCUCAGGACACGACUGGGACCUGUCCUUAAAGCACAGUCAUGACCGCAGACUCCAGUCUGUGCCCUGAAGCAAGGCCUCGGGGUUCCUUUGGGGAAAUCAUGUUUUGUUUUCAUCUCUAAAAUGAAUGUUACAUUAGGGGCUUGAAAGUGACCACCAGGGCCAGAAGCACAGGGAAAAACAUGUUUACUAACUUCCUGAGGCGCCACGGGCACUUCUGCCGCGAGACGUCAGGACUCCCCUCGACUCCCGCCAGCGGUGGCCUCCACCUCGUUCCAGCUGCUCACUGCCAGCCAGGACGCCACAGGGCCGGGGUGCGCCGAGGCCCCGGGCCGGGCGUGCGGCUUGUCAGACACAGCAGAGUCUCAGAUGCAGCCUUGGUAGCUGACGGUAAUUGAUUUUAUAAUCAUGAAACGCAUAGAGGUUCAUUUUUAAAAGAGGAAAACCCACCCAUGACCAGUGAAGGAGGUGAACAAACUAAGAUGUUCUGAGGGAAGGGGCCCGAGCCUGGGGCCUCCGUCCUUCAUGUCUGUGGAUGAAGGGUUUUUGGAAUGAAGUGCCGCUGUGCAUUUUCAGGAAAAAAAUCCCUGAGAAGCAGACUUGGAAUGGAUGUUUGCUCCUCCGGAUCCACUUCCCCUGUCGUAGUGACCGAAUGGCAUUCAGAACUGUGAGUGUACAUAGUGUCAGGACUUCCUCCCUUCCGUGUGAGACAAGGACGGAGCGGGAGGGCAGCCCCGGCCCUGCUGCCUGCGGGGGCCCUGCCGGGUCGCGGGGGCCCUGCUGGAAAGGGUGCCAUGGAAAGAACUUCGGAUUUUCAGUGGAAUGAAUAAAACAAAGUCCUAUGUACUUGAA
Molecule: long non-coding RNA, 1562 nt
Organism: Phyllostomus discolor (pale spear-nosed bat)
Lineage: Eukaryota; Metazoa; Chordata; Mammalia; Chiroptera; Phyllostomidae
Exons: 2
Source: RefSeq, a predicted model, not a curated record